UACGAAGGGUGCAAGCGUUACUCGGAAUUACUGGGCGUAAAGCGUGCGUAGGUGGUUCGUUAAGUCUGAUGUGAAAGCCCUGGGCUCAACCUGGGAAUUGCAUUGGAUACUGGCGGGCUAGAGUACGGUAGAGGGUGGCGGAAUUCCUGGUGUAGCAGUGAAAUGCGUAGAGAUCAGGAGGAACAUCCGUGGCGAAGGCGGCCACCUGGACCAGUACUGACACUGAGGCACGAAAGCGUGGGGAGCAAACAGG
This 253-nucleotide ribosomal RNA is filed under the name uncultured bacterium. RNAcentral's name for it is "partial 16S ribosomal RNA". It matches the Rfam family "Bacterial small subunit ribosomal RNA", at positions 524 to 776 of the family's 1533-position model. The record is from RNAcentral.